ACACUGUGAGUUGGUUUGUGUGAAUUCCACUUGGAAUUUAGGGUAGUUUUGUGAGUUGGUUUGUUUGAGUUCCACUUGGAACUUAGGAUAGAUCGAGUUGCAUAUAGAGUAGUAAUAUCACACUGAUGCAUGAUAGAGUCCUAGGGUUUUUUUUUAUUUAUGAAUUGGACUCAGUUUAGCAUGGGCUAAGCUGAGAUAUAAUGGAAUUAAGACUGAGUUAAUAACCUGACUAGGACUAGGGCUAGGAUGCAUCAUGUUUUCUAUUCAUGCGUGUUGAUAUGGUUGAGUGCAGGUUCCCGUUAUCUUUAAGGAUAGUUUCAUAGCAGGAGGCUGGACUAUCUGGAUAACGGUUUGAUUUAUUUGUUUAGUAUUGAUAUUAUUGUUUAGUUAUUAGUACUAAGGGUCUUAGGCCAUAUAGGCUGGACUACUGGUACUAUGGUUAGUCUUGUGGAGUCGAGUGUCUAGUUAGGUUCUGGAACUUUAUCUUUAGGUUAGGUUCUAGAUUGAAUUUGUGUUGUGUGAGUGUGCCGACAGUAUGUGCGUAACCCGCCCAUACUAGGCUUGUGUAGGGGUGAGUUAGUGUUCCUUCAGACCUCGUACCCAGCGGGUUCAAGGAAACCCCUUAUUCGCUGGAUCGGGAAGACUCAGAGAGACGGGGUCAUGGCCUAGGGCUGAGUUAUUACACGACGGUGUAAUGUGGCAGUGAC
This 707-nucleotide long non-coding RNA is filed under the name Brassica napus (rape). RNAcentral describes it as "long non-coding RNA (BNAP_LNC024190)". Lineage: Eukaryota; Viridiplantae; Streptophyta; Magnoliopsida; Brassicales; Brassicaceae. The record is from RNAcentral.